This 77-nucleotide transfer RNA is filed under the name Candidatus Azambacteria bacterium RIFCSPHIGHO2_01_FULL_51_74. Its description in RNAcentral is "tRNA-Arg". It matches the Rfam family "tRNA". From Rfam's summary of the family: Transfer RNA (tRNA) molecules are approximately 80 nucleotides in length. Their secondary structure includes four short double-helical elements and three loops (D, anti-codon, and T loops). RNAcentral also lists the same sequence under 2 other names. The record is from RNAcentral. Lineage: Bacteria; Candidatus Azamiibacteriota.
GCGCCCGUAGCUCAACUGGAUAGAGUGUUUGGCUUCGAACCAAAAGGUUGGGGGUUCAAGUCCCUCCGGGCGCACAA